Non-coding RNA from Pelobates cultripes (western spadefoot toad), 219 nucleotides. The record is from the annotation of a GenBank genome assembly. NCBI's taxonomy places the organism in Eukaryota, Metazoa, Chordata, Amphibia, Anura, Pelobatidae.
CCUUUUUCCUCAAAGCUUCUGGAAAGACUUGUCUUUACCCAUGUGUCUCACUUCCUCAAUUCCAACUCUCUCCUUGACCCUCUUCAGUCUGGCUUCCGCCUACUCCACUCUACUGAGACUGCUCUUAUCAAAGUUACUAAUGACCUAAUUGCAGCUAAAUCCAAAGGCCACUACUCCAUUUUAAUUCUUCUUGACCUCUCUGCUGCCUUUGAAACCGUU